RNAcentral lists this transfer RNA (70 nucleotides) under Scincella caudaequinae. RNAcentral describes it as "tRNA-Gln". It matches the Rfam family "tRNA". Rfam says of the family: Transfer RNA (tRNA) molecules are approximately 80 nucleotides in length. Their secondary structure includes four short double-helical elements and three loops (D, anti-codon, and T loops). Lineage: Eukaryota; Metazoa; Chordata; Lepidosauria; Squamata; Scincidae. The record is from RNAcentral.
UAGAAAAUAGUAUANGAGGAGUACAUGGGGUUUUGGGCCCCCUGGUGCAGGUUCGUGUCCUGUUUUUCUA